Molecule: long non-coding RNA, 922 nt
Filed under: Olea europaea subsp. europaea
Lineage: Eukaryota; Viridiplantae; Streptophyta; Magnoliopsida; Lamiales; Oleaceae
Source: RNAcentral
CUUAAGGCUGGCUUUAGGUGGCCCCUUCACCCCUUCUUUAUUGCUCUAUUAGUCGAGCACUCCAUGUGCCCGGGGCAAUUAGUGCCCAACGCCUGGAGGAUGCUUGUUUACUUUUUUAUAGCAUGUAGAUACUUAGGUAUCGAGCCCAACGUCAGCCUCAGCAAAUUAGUAUUCGAGCUUAAGAAGCAUCCUCGAUACACUUGUUUUGGCUAUCUCUCGACGAUUGGGGACUUUAAAGUCCCGAGGAUGGCGAGCUCUUUAAAGGGGUGGAGGGAGGGGUGGUUUUAUGUUGUAGCCCAAGAACCCGAUCUUCCUUUCUGGCCUGAUUGGGGAAUCCCCGACGCCGAGAAGUUCUGUGAGGGCCAGGUGUAUCCAGAUGUUCUGGAAGAGCAUAGGAGGAUGCUGGUCGGGCUCAGCCCCCUUUUCUCGACGAUGAAGGAGAUUGGGGAAGAGGUUUUAGACCUGGCAGAUAUUAGAGGCGUCGAGGGUAGGGAUGUUCCUUUAUUGUUAUUUUUUGAAAGAUACCCUGACCUUGUUGCUCGUUCUAAAAUGUUUGUAAAUAUUUGCAGGUAUGUCUUUUGAUCCUCGUGCUCUCCGGAACUUUGUCAGCACAAGGGGAGGCGCCCCUCCACAGGGGCAGCCCUCAAGGAAGAAAAGCAAGAAGAGGCCUCGAGGGGGUCCUGAGGGUGCAAGGGGGCCUGGCGAAACUUCUCGAGGACAUCCAGAAGUCUCGACCCCUCUGCAACCGAACCUCAGAUCUCCGACUCCUCGGGUCGUCACUCCUCGGCCUCCUUCUGAAGUGGUUGACCUCGAGGAUGAGCCGUCUCUCACUGGGGACUUUGGGACUUGUCACCUCGCUCCUGAGCUUGUAAACAAAUACAAAGAGGAGGUCAAGCUCGAGGAUGGGAUGAAGGUCCUCGAG